This 335-nucleotide ribosomal RNA is filed under the name uncultured soil bacterium. RNAcentral's name for it is "bacterial SSU rRNA". It matches the Rfam family "Bacterial small subunit ribosomal RNA", at positions 26 to 361 of the family's 1533-position model. The record is from RNAcentral.
AGAUUGAACGCUGGCGGCAGGCCUAACACAUGCAAGUCGAGCGGUAGAGAGGUGCUUGCACCUCUUGAGAGCGGCGGACGGGUGAGUAAUGCCUAGGAAUCUGCCUAGUGGUGGGGGAUAACGUUCGGAAACGGACGCUAAUACCGCAUACGUCCUACGGGAGAAAGCGGGGGACCUUCGGGCCUCGCGCCAUUAGAUGAGCCUAGGUCGGAUUAGCUAGUUGGUGAGGUAAUGGCUCACCAAGGCGACGAUCCGUAACUGGUCUGAGAGGAUGAUCAGUCACACUGGAACUGAGACACGGUCCAGACCUCCGUACGGGAGCAGCGAGUGGGGAA